UUACAGCAUAGCUAGAGGGUCAAAGCCAGU
RNAcentral lists this non-coding RNA (30 nucleotides) under Homo sapiens (human). The record is from RNAcentral. Lineage: Eukaryota; Metazoa; Chordata; Mammalia; Primates; Hominidae.